GACGAACGCUGGCGGCGUGCCUAAUACAUGCAAGUAGAACGCUGAAGAGAGGAGCUUGCUCUUCUUGGAAGAGUUGCGAACGGGUGAGUAACGCGUAGGUAACCUGCCUUGUAGCGGGGGAUAACUAUUGGAAACGAUAGCUAAUACCGCAUAACAAUGGGUGACCCAUGUCAUUCAUUUGAAAGGGGCAACUGCUCCACUACAAGAUGGACCUGCGUUGUAUUAGCUAGUAGGUGAGGUAACGGCUCACCUAGGCGACGAUACAUAGCCGACCUGAGAGGGUGAUCGGCCACACUGGGACUGAGACACGGCCCAGACUCCUACGGGAGGCAGCAGUAGGGAAUCUUCGGCAAUGGGGGCAACCCUGACCGAGCAACGCCGCGUGAGUGAAGAAGGUUUUCGGAUCGUAAAGCUCUGUUGUAAGUCAAGAACGAGUGUGAGAGUGGAAAGUUCACACUGUGACGGUAGCUUACCAGAAGGGGACGGCUAACUACGUGCCAGCAGCCGCGGUAAUACGUAGGUCCCGAGCGUUGUCCGGAUUUAUUGGGCGUAAAGCGAGCGCAGGCGGUUUGAUAAGUCUGAAGUUAAAGGCUGUGGCUCAACCAUAGUUCGCUUUGGAAACUGUCAAACUUGGGUGCAGAAGGGGAGAGUGGAAUUCCAUGUGUAGCGGUGAAAUGCGUAGAUAUAUGGAGGAACACCGGUGGCGAAAAGCGGCUCUCUGGUCUGUAACUGACGCUGAGGCUCGAAAGCGUGGGGGAGCGAACAGG
This 767-nucleotide ribosomal RNA is filed under the name uncultured Streptococcus sp. Its description in RNAcentral is "bacterial SSU rRNA". It matches the Rfam family "Bacterial small subunit ribosomal RNA", at positions 28 to 776 of the family's 1533-position model. Lineage: Bacteria; Bacillati; Bacillota; Bacilli; Lactobacillales; Streptococcaceae. The record is from RNAcentral.